This 253-nucleotide ribosomal RNA is filed under the name uncultured prokaryote. RNAcentral's name for it is "partial 16S ribosomal RNA". It matches the Rfam family "Bacterial small subunit ribosomal RNA", at positions 525 to 777 of the family's 1533-position model. The record is from RNAcentral.
ACGUAGGGUGCGAGCGUUAAUCGGAAUUACUGGGCGUAAAGCGUGCGCAGGCGGUGAUGUAAGACAGGUGUGAAAUCCCGGGGCUCAAUCUCGGAACUGCAUUUGUGACUGCAUCGCUGGAGUGCGGCAGAGGGGGGUGGAAUUCCGCGUGUAGCAGUGAAAUGCGUAGAUAUGUGGAGGAAUACCGAUGGCGAAGGCAGCCCCCUGGGAUAACACUGACGCUCAUGCACGAAAGCGUGGGGAGCAAACAGGA